GACGAACGCUGGCGGCGUGCCUAAUACAUGCAAGUCGAACGCAGGGGGGACGGGUGAGUAACACGUGGGUAACCUCCCAUCAGAGGGGAUAACACUUGGAAACAGGUGCUAAACCGAUACUGAUGGAUGAACCAGCGGUGCAUUAGCUAGUUGGUGAGGUACCGGCUCACCAAGGCCACGAUGCAUAGCCGACCUGCUAGGGUGUUCUGCCACACUGGGACGUAGACACUGCCCUGACUCCUUCGGUAGGCAGCAUGAGGGAAUCUUCGGCAAUGGACGAAAGGCUGACCGUGCAACGCCGCGUGAGUGAAGAAGGUUUUCGGAUCGUAAAACUCUUUUGUUAGAGAAGCGGUAUCUAACCAGAAAGCCACGGCUAACUACGUGCCAGCAGCCGCGGUAAUUC
This 403-nucleotide ribosomal RNA is filed under the name uncultured bacterium. RNAcentral's name for it is "partial 16S ribosomal RNA". It matches the Rfam family "Bacterial small subunit ribosomal RNA", at positions 28 to 526 of the family's 1533-position model. The record is from RNAcentral.